This is a non-coding RNA of Aegilops tauschii subsp. strangulata, 250 nucleotides long. Lineage: Eukaryota; Viridiplantae; Streptophyta; Magnoliopsida; Poales; Poaceae. The record is from RefSeq and is a predicted model, not a curated record.
ACUUGAUGACCAGAACUCGUUCAAGAGCUCUUUAGCCCUUCCAAAACAAGGAGCUCCAGGCCUAAUUUUUUUUGGAGUGUGAAGCCGUGAAGCCAAGUGUGAAGCAGUGAAGCCCUACUUAGCAAAGAGUUUUUGGUUCUGUAGUACACUGUAAAUUGUAAUAUUGUAACGUAUUGUAAAAGACUAAUGUAGUGUUAAUGAAUUAUAUCUGUCCUGUCCUAUUUGAAAUAAUGAUUAUGUAUGUUGAAAA